This 253-nucleotide ribosomal RNA is filed under the name uncultured bacterium. RNAcentral describes it as "partial 16S ribosomal RNA". It matches the Rfam family "Bacterial small subunit ribosomal RNA", at positions 524 to 776 of the family's 1533-position model. The record is from RNAcentral.
UACGGGGGGGGCAAGCGUUGUUCGGAAUUACUGGGCGUAAAGGGCUCGUAGGCGGCCAACUAAGUCAGACGUGAAAUCCCUCGGCUUAACCGGGGAACUGCGUCUGAUACUGGAUGGCUUGGAUUCGGGAGAGGAAUGCGGAAUUCCAGGUGUAGCGGUGAAAUGCGUAGAUAUCUGGAGGAACACCGGUGGCGAAGGCGGCAUUCUGGACCGAUAUUGACGCUGAGGAGCGAAAGCCAGGGGAGCAAACGGG